UGGGGAAUUUUGGACAAUGGGGGCAACCCUGAUCCAGCCAUUCCGCGUGAGUGAAGAAGGCCUUCGGGUUGUAGAGCUCUUUCAGCAGGAACGAAACGGUGGCUAUUAAUACUAGCUACUAAUGACGGUACCUGAAGAAGAAGCACCGGCUAACUACGUGCCAGCAGCCGCGGUAAUACGUAGGGUGCGAGCGUUAAUCGGAAUUACUGAGCGUAAAGCGUGCGCAGGCGGUUCCAUAAGACAGAUGUGAAAUCCCCGGGCUUAACCUGGGAACUGCGUUUGUGACUGUGGGACUCGAGUGUGGCAGAGGGGGGUGGAAUUCCACGUGUAGCAGUGAAAUGCGUAGAGAUGUGGAGGAACACCGAUGGCGAAGGCAGCCCCCUGGGUCAACACUGACGCUCAUGCACGAAAGCGUGGGGAGCAAACGGG
Molecule: ribosomal RNA, 429 nt
Filed under: uncultured bacterium
Lineage: Bacteria
Description: bacterial SSU rRNA
Rfam family: Bacterial small subunit ribosomal RNA
Source: RNAcentral